This 492-nucleotide ribosomal RNA is filed under the name uncultured bacterium. RNAcentral's name for it is "partial 16S ribosomal RNA". It matches the Rfam family "Bacterial small subunit ribosomal RNA", at positions 29 to 507 of the family's 1533-position model. The record is from RNAcentral.
AGUGAACGCUGGCGGUAGGCCUAACACAUGCAAGUCGAACGGCAGCACAGUAAGAGCUUGCUCUUACGGGUGGCGAGUGGCGGACGGGUGAGGAAUACAUCGGAAUCUACUUUUUCGUGGGGGAUAACGUAGGGAAACUUACGCUAAUACCGCAUACGACCUACGGGUGAAAGCAGGGGAUCUUCGGACCUUGCGCGAUUGAAUGAGCCGAUGUCGGAUUAGCUAGUUGGCGGGGUAAAGGCCCACCAAGGCGACGAUCCGUAGCUGGUCUGAGAGGAUGAUCAGCCACACUGGAACUGAGACACGGUCCAGACUCCUACGGGAGGCAGCAGUGGGGAAUAUUAGACAAUGGGCGCAAGCCUGAUCCAGCCACACCGCGUGGGUGAAGAAGGCCUUCGGGUUGUAAAGCCCUUUUGUUGGGAAAGAAAAGCAGCAGGUUAAUACCCCGCUGUUCUGACGGUACCCAAAGAAUAAGCACCGGCUAACUUCGUG